AAUUAUAAAGAUUCCCAAACUUAAAAAUUUCAAAUUUUAGUUGCUCAAAGUUCAACCUCGUGUUAAUGAAAUCCUAAUUCUAUCCCUGUUUGUGAACCGAACACCAAAGUACCAUUUGAAGUUACAAGUCAAUGCAAUGAAUCCACCGUUAAAUUGUCGGGAUAAAAGAAACAAAAGAUUUUUUCGCAAACUACUCCGAACACCAACAAAUUACUCGGAAAACAGACCAUGUAGUUCGUUUUGAAAUUUUGAAUUUGAAAAUACUGAUCAUUAACAGUAUUGCCUAAAAGAAAUAUUACUUGCACAUUUCAAUGUCGAAUAAUAAAAUUUACAUUUCGGGAUGAAACAUUGUAUAUGAUGAACAAAUCUGAUGAUUCAACACAGUGUACAAGAAAUAUAACUUACACAUAACAUUGUCAAUGAUAAAUUUACAGGACAAAAACACUGGAAAACAUGAAUACUGAGUACAGACACACCAAUAAUGCCCCAAUAAUAUACACCCGUCUUUUGCAUAUGCCAUUCAUAAUAUAUACCGUUUUUCAGCAUACAUAACUUGCGUUAAGUACAGAAUACUAACCCAAUUCAAGACUAAUAGAACGAAUAUCAUUUCCAGAAAAUACUAAUUCCUGUAACAAACUCAUACAGACUCAAUUCAAUGAAAUAUAGUUAAAAAAAACUCUAUUUGAGUCACUGGAGUGAUUCAAGUUGCAAAAAGAAUCAAUAUAUCCCUAACCAAUUCAAUUCAAACGUCAGUAACAAUUACCGACCACAAAUCGACACAAUUUAGGUGACAAUAGCUGUUGCCAAACUGAUAAUAUACUCGAUUCAUGCGGCAAAAGCAAUUGUCAAACCCAAAAUCUACUCGAUUUAGGUGGCAGUAGCAGUUACCGAAAUUUCUUAUCUUGGGCGCACAUAUCAUUAAACACAG
Rhododendron vialii is the source of this 928-nucleotide long non-coding RNA. RefSeq lists it as uncharacterized. The transcript has 2 exons. The record is from RefSeq and is a predicted model, not a curated record. Lineage: Eukaryota; Viridiplantae; Streptophyta; Magnoliopsida; Ericales; Ericaceae.